RNAcentral lists this ribosomal RNA (466 nucleotides) under uncultured bacterium. RNAcentral describes it as "partial 16S ribosomal RNA". It matches the Rfam family "Bacterial small subunit ribosomal RNA", at positions 28 to 507 of the family's 1533-position model. The record is from RNAcentral.
GACGAACGCUGGCGGCGCGCCUAACACAUGCAAGUCGAACGAGCGAGAGAGAGCUUGCUUUCUUGAGCGAGUGGCGAACGGGUGAGUAACGCGUGAGGAACCUGCCUCAAAGAGGGGGACAACAGUUGGAAACGACUGCUAAUACCGCAUAAGCCCACGGUGCCGCAUGGCACAGAGGGAAAAGGAGCAAUCCGCUUUGAGAUGGCCUCGCGUCCGAUUAGCUAGUUGGUGAGGUAACGGCCCACCAAGGCGACGAUCGGUAGCCGGACUGAGAGGUUGAACGGCCACACUGGGACUGAGACACGGCCCAGACUCCUACGGGAGGCAGCAGUGGGGAAUAUUGCACAAUGGGGGAAACCCUGAUGCAGCGACGCCGCGUGGAGGAAGAAGGUCUUAGGAUUGUAAACUCCUGUUGUUGGGGAAGAUAAUGACGGUACCCAACAAGGAAGUGACGGCUAACUACGUG